AAGUUUCAACAACGGAUCUCUUGGCUCUCGCAUCGAUGAAGAGCGCAGCGAAAUGCGAUAAGUAAUGUGAAUUGCAGAAUUCAGUGAAUCAUCGAAUCUUUGAACGCACCUUGCGCUCCUUGGUAUUCCUCGGAGCAUGCCUGUUUGAGUAUCA
RNAcentral lists this ribosomal RNA (154 nucleotides) under uncultured fungus. Its description in RNAcentral is "partial 5.8S ribosomal RNA". It matches the Rfam family "5.8S ribosomal RNA". From Rfam's summary of the family: 5.8S ribosomal RNA (5.8S rRNA) is a component of the large subunit of the eukaryotic ribosome. It is transcribed by RNA polymerase I as part of the 45S precursor that also contains 18S and 28S rRNA. Lineage: Eukaryota; Fungi. The record is from RNAcentral.